Molecule: ribosomal RNA, 254 nt
Filed under: uncultured bacterium
Lineage: Bacteria
Description: partial 16S ribosomal RNA
Rfam family: Bacterial small subunit ribosomal RNA
Source: RNAcentral
UACGAAGGGGGCAAGCGUUAUUCGGAUUUAUUGGGCGUAAAGGGCGUGUAGGCGGCUUGGUAAGUCCGGUGUGAAAACGCUACCGCUCAACGGAGCGAAUGCGCUGGAUACUAUCAAACUUGAGUACGAGAGAGGUGAGGAGAAUACCUGGUGUAGCGGUGGAAUGCUUAGAUAUCAGGUAGAAUACCCGAGGCGAAGGCGCCUCACUGGCUCGUUACUGACGCUAAGGCGCGAAAGCGUGGGGAUCAAACGGG